UGAAUGAACAUUUUUACAACUACUUAGUUAUGUAGUAGGAGGACUGGCUUUCACACACUGCAUCACUACUCAAGGUUCUGUGGGAUCAGUUUCCCUUAUUGCAUCCAUCCUUUGGCAUGAAUUUACUGUUUGUGACCUCACAGUGGUAAAUAGAGGGACAGAAGAGGACACAUUUUCCUGCCUGAUUCUUCUGGAGAUGGAAUAAUGAUGGAUGUGAACAGCCUGUAC
Molecule: long non-coding RNA, 228 nt
Organism: Corvus hawaiiensis (hawaiian crow)
Lineage: Eukaryota; Metazoa; Chordata; Aves; Passeriformes; Corvidae
Exons: 3
Source: RefSeq, a predicted model, not a curated record